Pongo pygmaeus (Bornean orangutan) is the source of this 410-nucleotide long non-coding RNA. RefSeq lists it as uncharacterized. The record is from RefSeq and is a predicted model, not a curated record. The transcript is spliced from 4 exons. Lineage: Eukaryota; Metazoa; Chordata; Mammalia; Primates; Hominidae.
UGGAGAGACAGGACCUCAGGCGAGAGGUGGAGAGACAGGAACUCAGUCGAGAGGUGGAGGGACAGGACCUCAGAACUGGCAAGGACCUCCAGGACAGUGUUGAAUAGAAGUGUCAAAAGAGGCAUCUCCCUCACUGCCAGGCUCAGAGCUACUUGGGAGGCUGAGGCAGGAGAAUCGCUUGAACUUGGGAGGUGGAGGUUUCAGUAAGCCGAGAUCAUGCCAUUGCACUCCAGCCUGGCAACAACAGCAAAACUCCGUCUCAACAACAACAACAACAAGAACAACAACAAAGAAGUUUUCUCUCUUUUUCUGUUCCUGGAAGAGUUUUAUUUGAAAAAUUGGAAACAACCGAAGUAUUUAUGACAAGGAACAACCCCAGCACAUUUUUUAUUAAAUAAAGUAAUUUUCAG